GUUCAUUUGUGUGUGGAUGGUAUUUAGCACCAGGAACAGGUGUGUUUAUUUGUGUGUGGACGGUGUUCAGCACCAGGAACAGGUGUGUUUAUUU
Molecule: non-coding RNA, 94 nt
Organism: Branchiostoma floridae (Florida lancelet)
Lineage: Eukaryota; Metazoa; Chordata; Leptocardii; Amphioxiformes; Branchiostomatidae
Source: Rfam